CUCAGAAUAAAUAAUCCUCACUAAUGUGUUUUGGAGCUCACAGGGAGGGGCGCUCUGGAGCGGUGACGCAUGCGUAAUGAAGCAGACGUUGGAGAAUAAAUACAUUCAAUUUGCCAAUUUGAGAUCUGUCAGACUCAGGUUUAUUUUUAUUGUCCAAAUUUACUGCCGCAUCAAUGUCCCACUUUGGCCUACUUAGAAAUAAAGUCAAACUAAUCCGCUUUAAUUCCCGCGAAAUUGCCGCUGGAUUCGAAAUGAUUAUUAACGGCCGUUUGUCGGAUAUAUCGGCUAUUUGUUUGACAACUGGUCAGUAACAUCGAAAUACAAGAAUCAGUGAUUGUAACAGUGAUAAUGAGCCCCUCUUCAGGGGAAACAUCCACUCUCUGGUAGAUAUUUUUCCACCAGAUAAUUUGGCACUAAAUCAUGAACAGCAUGGACUGAUGAUCUCGAGGCUCUCAUUAUCCAGAGUCCAAGGAGAGACAGAGGAGUCCAGGCUCCUCCUGGAGACCGACAGACACGAAGUGUGAGAGGAAUUAAAGUUAGACAUGAGGCCGCUGUCUGUUCAUCUGGGAGGGUCACGGUACCACAUUAUCAUGGACCACGAGAGGAGCCCAAACCCAGACCGUAGGCAGCAGGAGGGCACUGCCCAAAACAGUGGUUUGGUCCAGAGGAAUAACAAGCAUCAACAGUGAAUCCCCGUGAGCCCUCCCUUUAGAAACCUCCCCGGCUCUUGGUGGGGCCUUAUGGAGCCCAGAACACAUCCACACAGUCCAGAUGUUCAAAUCCUUAUUUUAAGAGAGUGGAUAUAAAAGCAGCCUACAUACAAUACAGCUGUACAAGCCAAACUCCGUGGGGAUAGCUGGGGUCAUCCUCCCAACGGAUGCUUUGGCUCAUCCUGCUACUGGUGCCCUGAGGGCCUGGGCACAGAGCGUGACCCUCCAGAAGCCACCCAGACACUGACUAUAAUAAAUAUGUAUGGAUUUCUACUCAUCUAUUUUAACUUUUACUAGACUUCUGUAUUGGGGAUAAAUAUUGCAACAACAUGUGCAUGCUUAAAAAUAAAGUCAAAAUAAAU
Long non-coding RNA from Cynoglossus semilaevis (tongue sole), 1072 nucleotides. RefSeq lists it as uncharacterized. The record is from RefSeq and is a predicted model, not a curated record. The transcript is spliced from 4 exons. NCBI's taxonomy places the organism in Eukaryota, Metazoa, Chordata, Actinopteri, Pleuronectiformes, Cynoglossidae.